RNAcentral lists this ribosomal RNA (253 nucleotides) under uncultured bacterium. Its description in RNAcentral is "partial 16S ribosomal RNA". It matches the Rfam family "Bacterial small subunit ribosomal RNA", at positions 524 to 776 of the family's 1533-position model. The record is from RNAcentral.
UACGUAGGGUGCGAGCGUUGUCCGGAAUUACUGGGCGUAAAGAGCUCGUAGGCGGUUUGUUGCGUCGGCCGUGAAAACCUGCAGCUUAACUGUGGGCCUGCGGCCGAUACGGGCAGACUUGAGUUCGGUAGGGGAGACUGGAAUUCCUGGUGUAGCGGUGAAAUGCGCAGAUAUCAGGAGGAACACCGGUGGCGAAGGCGGGUCUCUGGGCCGAUAUUGACGCUGAGGAGCGAAAGCGUGGGGAGCGAACAGG